GCCAGCAGCCAUGUCACCCCACAAUUCACAUCUGGCAACCCACGGAAGCUAAGCAGGUGUGAGCCUGGUCAGUACCUGGAUGGGAAACCUCCUGGGAACAAAGGUUGCUGCUGGAA
Molecule: ribosomal RNA, 116 nt
Filed under: Lepisosteus oculatus (spotted gar)
Lineage: Eukaryota; Metazoa; Chordata; Actinopteri; Semionotiformes; Lepisosteidae
Source: RNAcentral